This 433-nucleotide ribosomal RNA is filed under the name uncultured bacterium. RNAcentral's name for it is "partial 16S ribosomal RNA". It matches the Rfam family "Bacterial small subunit ribosomal RNA", at positions 29 to 507 of the family's 1533-position model. The record is from RNAcentral.
AACGAACGCUGGCGGCAGGCCUAACACAUGCAAGUCGAGAGCGCCCUUCGGGGUGAGCGGCGGACGGGUGAGUAACGCGUGGGAACGUGCCCUUCUCUGCGGAAUAGCCUCGGGAAACUGAGAGUAAUACCGCAUACGCCCUUUGGGGGAAAGAUUUAUCGGAGAAGGAUCGGCCCGCGUUGGAUUAGGUAGUUGGUGGGGUAAUGGCCCACCAAGCCGACGAUCCAUAGCUGGUUUGAGAGGAUGAUCAGCCACACUGGGACUGAGACACGGCCCAGACUCCUACGGGAGGCAGCAGUGGGGAAUCUUAGACAAUGGGGGCAACCCUGAUCUAGCCAUGCCGCGUGAGUGAUGAAGGCCUUAGGGUUGUAAAGCUCUUUCAGCUGGGAAGAUAAUGACGGUACCAGCAGAAGAAGCCCCGGCUAACUCCGUG